GGCUUUUUUUAAAUUAAAGUAUUUACAAAAAAAUAACAAAUAAACGUGGAAAUUAUGAUAAGAACGCUGUGAUUUUCGACUGUGUUUAUGGACAACAUGUUAAUUAUAAUCAUAAUAUUCCUUUGAUAUAGGCUUUUAGUUGUAAUCUCAAAAGCGAACUAAAUGCAAUUGAUAGAGCAGAUCAUAGGAAGAACCAGGGGGUGUGCAGGGUAUGCGAAGGCACCCCCUAAACGCACAGACAAUUUAGUGUGGAGUUCAAACGUCGUAUGAUAUUGUGAUUUAUCAAUGAGGAGAAGGACAAAAAUAUUCGCACCCUCUGAACGUGAAGGCUGGCUCCGCUUAUGGAGCAGAUAUAUGUAUAAGCACAACAUAAUAUUAUGGCUAUAUAGUUAUU
Molecule: long non-coding RNA, 394 nt
Organism: Diuraphis noxia (Russian wheat aphid)
Lineage: Eukaryota; Metazoa; Arthropoda; Insecta; Hemiptera; Aphididae
Source: RefSeq, a predicted model, not a curated record